This 460-nucleotide unclassified non-coding RNA is filed under the name Hevea brasiliensis (rubber tree). The record is from RNAcentral. Lineage: Eukaryota; Viridiplantae; Streptophyta; Magnoliopsida; Malpighiales; Euphorbiaceae.
AAAAUUUGUUCUUAAGCCCAAGGUCCAACUGGAAAAUCUUGGUUUCAUAGCAUAUUUGUUUCAUAUUGAGUAUUACAUUUCUAAAAAAGGAGAAAACAUCACAUUACAUUUCGCUUCAAGUGCUGUCACAAUAUAUAUAUAUAUAGCACUCAACGUCUGGGAGGACCACGAUUGUCAUAGGAACCCCAACCACCGCCACUGUAUGGAUCACCAUACGCUCCACCGGGAUAUCUCAUCUCAGGGCUUCCAUUCAUCAUGCCAUAGGCUCCUACACCAAGGCCCCGUCCAACUUUAUCUGCUCGCAGCUUUUCAAUUUCACGAGCCAUUGAAAUGAGAUUCUUCUCCAUAGAUUGAUUUUGUUCCACCAGUUCUGUAUUUGCUUGCUUCUCAUAUUCAAAUUGCCUCCUUGCUUCUGCCAAUUCUUUCUGCAAUUUAUCAAUAUCAGUCUUCAUAGCUGAUA